RNAcentral lists this ribosomal RNA (440 nucleotides) under uncultured bacterium. Its description in RNAcentral is "partial 16S ribosomal RNA". It matches the Rfam family "Bacterial small subunit ribosomal RNA", at positions 338 to 795 of the family's 1533-position model. The record is from RNAcentral.
CCUACGGGAGGCAGCAGUAGGGAAUCUUCCACAAUGGACGAAAGUCUGAUGGAGCAACGCCGCGUGAGUGAAGAAGGGUUUCGGCUCGUAAACCUCUGUCUUUGGGGACGAAUUGAGACGGUACCCAAGGAGGAAGCUCCGGCUAACUACGUGCCAGCAGCCGCGGUAAUACGUAGGGAGCAAGCGUUGUCCGGAAUUACUGGGUGUAAAGGGAGCGUAGGCGGGAUAGUAAGUUGAUUGUUAAAACUAUCGGCUCAACUGGUAGAUGCGAUCAAAACUGCAAUUCGUGAGUGAAGUAGAGGCAGGCGGAAUUCCUAGUGUAGCGGUGAAAUGCGUAGAUAUUAGGAGGAACACCAGUGGCGAAGGCGGCCUGCUGGGCUUUAACUGACGCUGAGGCUCGAAAGUGUGGGUAGCAAACAGGAUUAGAUACCCGAGUAGUC